Long non-coding RNA from Patiria miniata (bat star), 1022 nucleotides. RefSeq lists it as uncharacterized. The record is from RefSeq and is a predicted model, not a curated record. NCBI's taxonomy places the organism in Eukaryota, Metazoa, Echinodermata, Asteroidea, Valvatida, Asterinidae. The transcript has 3 exons.
GAUGUGCUCAGUAGUUUUUGAGUAAGACAACAAAAUAUUAGGGAGGUCUUUCUUUUUUGGUUGAGUGUAGUUCCUCAUAAUGCGGGUAUUACAAAUAUGUCACUAGAUAUACAUUUGCUGUAUACCAAGCUGUUGAGGUCAAUAUACACCUACGUGUUGACUGAAGCCUCAAAAGUGAAUUAGUCGCAUUGAAAAGAUGCUGAGCUAAAAAUAACACUUGUGAACGUUCAAAAUCAGGUUAUUUGAAAAGAAAGGUCACCCAUUGACCCGUCAACUUUGUAGAUCUUUGCAUAACAGCAGACCACACAAAACUUUCCAUUCUUGACUCCAGGCUAGUGGUGACAAUAAAACAUUUUGGGAAAACCCAGAUGUACACCUUUUCUGUAUGCCUUCUGGGACAAAUGUAGUAUAUAUGUUUGUAUCGAUGUGCGGGUUUCCAGGAUUAUAUAAAUAGCCUUUAUUUUUUAUUAAGAUAUUCUACAGACAAAGUAGGACAGCAUGCAAAUAUGGAUAGUGCAAUGUUUUGUUUCAUUGGAUGCAACCUGCUUGCAUGUGGCAGAAUUUCAAAGCACUUGUGAAUCAUGACCUUGUAACUUUUGUAAAGUUUGAGUCAGUGCCAUAUAUGGAAGUUUAUUGAGGGAUUGAUUUGCAUAAUAUAGUUCCGUCAAGUGGUCAUGGGAUUGUUGGGUGCGGCAGCUUCAUGUACAGUGCUGUAAUGCUUGGACGUCUCUGAAUCAACCUGCUACAAUCUUAACUGUACCGGACCUCCAUUUGUGGCUGGGUGAUCCAAAGUACCAUGGCUGCACAAUCUGAAGCAGCCUGCCAGACUGAUGUCCCUACCACGAUGCAACAGGAAGCACAGGUACCCACCCCCUCAGCUACAACAGAUUCCCCACAACGAACUGGAGCCAUUGGAAACAUGGGCACAGUCAGUGGUAGCCACUGCCAUACCAUUGUUGGUUCAAGUGGAGUUAGUAUCACUUACAGCUGGCCGUCGGAUGGAGCAGGCAAAUAUUAUCUUG